Molecule: ribosomal RNA, 1534 nt
Filed under: Klebsiella pneumoniae
Lineage: Bacteria; Pseudomonadati; Pseudomonadota; Gammaproteobacteria; Enterobacterales; Enterobacteriaceae
Description: bacterial SSU rRNA
Rfam family: Bacterial small subunit ribosomal RNA
Source: RNAcentral
UUGAAGAGUUUGAUCAUGGCUCAGAUUGAACGCUGGCGGCAGGCCUAACACAUGCAAGUCGAGCGGUAGCACAGAGAGCUUGCUCUCGGGUGACGAGCGGCGGACGGGUGAGUAAUGUCUGGGAAACUGCCUGAUGGAGGGGGAUAACUACUGGAAACGGUAGCUAAUACCGCAUAAUGUCGCAAGACCAAAGUGGGGGACCUUCGGGCCUCAUGCCAUCAGAUGUGCCCAGAUGGGAUUAGCUAGUAGGUGGGGUAACGGCUCACCUAGGCGACGAUCCCUAGCUGGUCUGAGAGGAUGACCAGCCACACUGGAACUGAGACACGGUCCAGACUCCUACGGGAGGCAGCAGUGGGGAAUAUUGCACAAUGGGCGCAAGCCUGAUGCAGCCAUGCCGCGUGUGUGAAGAAGGCCUUCGGGUUGUAAAGCACUUUCAGCGGGGAGGAAGGCGGUGAGGUUAAUAACCUCAUCGAUUGACGUUACCCGCAGAAGAAGCACCGGCUAACUCCGUGCCAGCAGCCGCGGUAAUACGGAGGGUGCAAGCGUUAAUCGGAAUUACUGGGCGUAAAGCGCACGCAGGCGGUCUGUCAAGUCGGAUGUGAAAUCCCCGGGCUCAACCUGGGAACUGCAUUCGAAACUGGCAGGCUAGAGUCUUGUAGAGGGGGGUAGAAUUCCAGGUGUAGCGGUGAAAUGCGUAGAGAUCUGGAGGAAUACCGGUGGCGAAGGCGGCCCCCUGGACAAAGACUGACGCUCAGGUGCGAAAGCGUGGGGAGCAAACAGGAUUAGAUACCCUGGUAGUCCACGCCGUAAACGAUGUCGAUUUGGAGGUUGUGCCCUUGAGGCGUGGCUUCCGGAGCUAACGCGUUAAAUCGACCGCCUGGGGAGUACGGCCGCAAGGUUAAAACUCAAAUGAAUUGACGGGGGCCCGCACAAGCGGUGGAGCAUGUGGUUUAAUUCGAUGCAACGCGAAGAACCUUACCCUGGUCUUGACAUCCACAGAACUUUCCAGAGAUGGAUUGGUGCCUUCGGGAACUGUGAGACAGGUGCUGCAUGGCUGUCGUCAGCUCGUGUUGUGAAAUGUUGGGUUAAGUCCCGCAACGAGCGCAACCCUUAUCCUUUGUUGCCAGCGGUCCGGCCGGGAACUCAAAGGAGACUGCCAGUGAUAAACUGGAGGAAGGUGGGGAUGACGUCAAGUCAUCAUGGCCCUUACGACCGGGCUACACGUGCUACAAUGGCAUAUACAAAGAGAAGCGACCUCGCGAGAGCAAGCGGACCUCAUAAAGUAUGUCGUAGUCCGGAUUGGAGUCUGCAACUCGACUCCAUGAAGUCGGAAUCGCUAGUAAUCGUAGAUCAGAAUGCUACGGUGAAUACGUUCCCGGGCCUUGUACACACCGCCCGUCACACCAUGGGAGUGGGUUGCAAAAGAAGUAGGUAGCUUAACCUUCGGGAGGGCGCUUACCACUUUGUGAUUCAUGACUGGGGUGAAGUCGUAACAAGGUAACCGUAGGGGAACCUGCGGUUGGAUCACCUCCUU